UACGUAGGGUGCGAGCGUUAAUCGGAAUUACUGGGCGUAAAGCGUGCGCAGGCGGCUCUAUAAGACAGAUGUGAAAUCCCCGGGCUUAACCUGGGAACUGCGUUUGUGACUGUAGGGCUUGAGUGCGGCAGAGGGGGGUGGAAUUCCACGUGUAGCAGUGAAAUGCGUAGAGAUGUGGAGGAACACCGAUGGCGAAGGCAGCCCCCUGGGUCGACACUGACGCUCAUGCACGAAAGCGUGGGGAGCAAACAGG
This 253-nucleotide ribosomal RNA is filed under the name uncultured bacterium. RNAcentral describes it as "partial 16S ribosomal RNA". It matches the Rfam family "Bacterial small subunit ribosomal RNA", at positions 524 to 776 of the family's 1533-position model. The record is from RNAcentral.